GGGCACGUAGUGUAGGGGUUAUCGCGCCUCAUUCGCAUUGAGGAGGUCCCCGGUUCAAUUCCGGGCUUGUCCA
This 73-nucleotide transfer RNA is filed under the name Rhizoctonia solani AG-1 IB. Its description in RNAcentral is "tRNA-Ala". It matches the Rfam family "tRNA". From Rfam's summary of the family: Transfer RNA (tRNA) molecules are approximately 80 nucleotides in length. Their secondary structure includes four short double-helical elements and three loops (D, anti-codon, and T loops). The record is from RNAcentral. Lineage: Eukaryota; Fungi; Basidiomycota; Agaricomycetes; Cantharellales; Ceratobasidiaceae.